AUCGGAGGCAGCAGUAAGGAAUCUUCGGCAAUGGACGAAAGUCUGACCGAGCAACGCCGCGUGAGUGAUGAAGGCCUUCGGGUCGUAAAACUCUGUUGCCAGAGAAGAACGUCCGGGAGAGUAACUGCUCCUGGAGUGACGGUAUCUGAGAAGAAAGCCCCGGCUAACUACGUGCCAGCAGCCGCGGUAAUACGUAGGGGGCAAGCGUUGUCCGGAAUUAUUGGGCGUAAAGCGCGCGCAGGCGGUCUUUUAAGUCUGGGGUUUAAGUUCGGGGCUCAACCCCGCAUCGCCCUGGAAACUGGGAGACUGGAGUGCAGGAGAGGAAAGUGGAAUUCCACGUGUAGCGGUGAAAUGCGUAGAGAUGUGGAGGAACACCAGUGGCGAAGGCGACUUUCUGGCCUGUAACUGACGCUGAGGCGCGAAAGCGUGGGAGCAAACAGGAUUAGAUACCCCGGUAA
This 458-nucleotide ribosomal RNA is filed under the name uncultured bacterium. RNAcentral's name for it is "bacterial SSU rRNA". It matches the Rfam family "Bacterial small subunit ribosomal RNA", at positions 341 to 793 of the family's 1533-position model. The record is from RNAcentral.